UACGUAGGGCGCAAGCGUUGUCCGGAAUUAUUGGGCGUAAAGAGCUCGUAGGCGGUUGGGUAAGUCGGGUGUGAAAACUCCAGGCUCAACUUGGAGACGCCACCCGAUACUGCUCUGACUUGAGUUCGGUAGGGGAGUGGGGAAUUCCUGGUGUAGCGGUGAAAUGCGCAGAUAUCAGGAGGAACACCGGUGGCGAAGGCGCCACUCUGGGCCGAAACUGACGCUGAGGAGCGAAAGCGUGGGUAGCAAACAGG
Molecule: ribosomal RNA, 254 nt
Filed under: uncultured bacterium
Lineage: Bacteria
Description: partial 16S ribosomal RNA
Rfam family: Bacterial small subunit ribosomal RNA
Source: RNAcentral